Non-coding RNA from Colinus virginianus (northern bobwhite), 61 nucleotides. The record is from Rfam. NCBI's taxonomy places the organism in Eukaryota, Metazoa, Chordata, Aves, Galliformes, Odontophoridae.
AAUGCUCUAGUGGUUAGGAGCCGGCGCUCUCACUGCCGCGGCCUGGGUUCGAUUCCCGGUU